ACAGAAAAACAAUGGUGAACGAAGAAAUUAUUACAACGUGUCCAAAAUCGUGUAGGAAGAGUGAACAAGCAUGAAGAAAUACAAUUGGAGGACAAAAGGGUGUGAUCUGCUGGUACUAAACUGGGAGGAACCUAGCGAGGUUGUAUAUCCUGAUUUUUCUCUACGUCCCUGUGUCUUCAGAGGAAUCUAAAACAUUCCUGGAAAUGGAGAGUCCUGAGAUGAUGGAGCUCAUAAUGAAAAGAGCUCAGAUUCCUGAGUCACCACGGGGACACGAGGCACCAGGGAGAAAACACAUACACCUUAAUAAGUUUGGGGUGAGAGAGAAAUAAACUUUAAGUAUGUUAAGCUUCUGUGAUUAC
Long non-coding RNA from Cebus imitator (Panamanian white-faced capuchin), 359 nucleotides. RefSeq lists it as uncharacterized. The record is from RefSeq and is a predicted model, not a curated record. The transcript has 3 exons. NCBI's taxonomy places the organism in Eukaryota, Metazoa, Chordata, Mammalia, Primates, Cebidae.